AUUGAACGCUGGCGGCAUGCUUUACACAUGCAAGUCGAACGGUAACAGGCCUUCGGGUGCUGACGAGUGGCGAACGGGUGAGUAAUGCAUCGGAACGUACCCAGAGGUGGGGGAUAACGCAGCGAAAGCUGUGCUAAUACCGCAUGUGAUCUGAGGAUGAAAGCGGGGGACCGAGCAGCAAUGUUUGGCCUCGCGCCUUUGGAGCGGCCGAUGUCGGAUUAGCUAGUUGGUGGGGUAAAGCCUACCAAGGCGACGAUCCGUAGCUGGUCUGAGAGGACGACCAGCCACACUGGGACUGAGACACGGCCCAGACUCCUACGGGAGGCAGCAGUGGGGAAUUUUGGACAAUGGGCGCAAGCCUGAUCCAGCAAUGCCGCGUGCGGGAAGAAGGCCUUCGGGUUGUAAACCGCUUUUGGCAGGAACGAAACGGUGUCCGCUAAUACCGGGCGCUAAUGACGGUACCUGCAGAAUAAGCACCGGCUAACUACGUG
Molecule: ribosomal RNA, 491 nt
Filed under: uncultured bacterium
Lineage: Bacteria
Description: partial 16S ribosomal RNA
Rfam family: Bacterial small subunit ribosomal RNA
Source: RNAcentral